Mya arenaria is the source of this 4190-nucleotide long non-coding RNA. RefSeq lists it as uncharacterized. The record is from RefSeq and is a predicted model, not a curated record. The transcript is spliced from 3 exons. NCBI's taxonomy places the organism in Eukaryota, Metazoa, Mollusca, Bivalvia, Myida, Myidae.
GUGUGCAAUCUAAAACAGUGAUCUUAAAUACAACUGCGUCAGAUUUGCGAAUUAUUUAUCCUUUUCUGAAGCCUUCUGGUCCUAGAUGCUCGAAAAUAUUAAAUACUUUUAAAAAGAAUAACUUACUAAUUUUCAUUUCCUGGUGGGCUCAAUUUGUGUCUUUCAGUUAAUCGAAUAGGUUAGAGAACACCAUCUUAUAUUGUCAGUAGGUACAUUAAACUAUGUUGACUUAGUGACAAACUUAAUUUGAUCACUCCAAUUUAAAGAAAAAAACCUUUCGAUGUGUAUCUUUUAUCCUAUGCAAAAGUGGCUUCUUUUUAUUAUUUCGUUUCCAUCACUCACGGUAUGUUAUUUUUCUUGUCAUAUGAAAUGGGUACAUAUAUGUAUGAUAGCACUAUCACGAACCUAUUACCAGUAUAGGUUAAACAAUUAUUUAUAAGUCAGUGAUAUUAUUUAUAAAUGUUCUAUAACAUUGUGUAUUGACUUAAUACUUCGUAAAAAAAUAAGCUCAACAAUCAUUCUUUGUUUCAGAAUUCAUCCAUUUCAAAUGAUUCUUUGAAAAGGAGCCAUUAUCUCGGAUCACUUAUUGUCAGGGUUUAGGAGCUGUAGCUAAAACCAGUGACGAAAUUCGUUUACACUCUUAAAUUGUGCUCAGUUACAUUGAACAUCUGCCAUAACUGAAUGAUAGCUUUACAUUGAUAAAUAAGAAGUAAAUAUAUCCAAAUACUAUUGCAAGGGGUAUUUUUUUUGCAAAAGUGUAUAGCCCUUCACGCAAUUCAUGAUAGUUUAAAAACUCAUGUCUUGAAUGACACUAUCUUUGAUCUACCUGUUUGCAUGUUUUUGUUCGUUUAUCAAAUAUACGCAUGUACUUUGCUUAUCAAUAUCAUGUCCACGUGUUUGUGAAUGGAGGAUAAAGAUACUGUAAUAAUGUUUCAAAGAUGAAUAUCGUUAAACACGUUGAUUAAAUAUUAACAUAUUUUUAAAUCACAUUUAUGAGAGUUAGGCGAAGAUUUUGUGAUGGAUUUUAUAUUUGCUACUGUACAAUAGGGGAGGUUACUGCGUAGGAGACGAACAUUUUCUUAAACCGGUUUAGCAUCAAAUCAAGUAGGACCUACUCCGGUGACCUCAGACGAACAUUCGUGUAAAAAAUGGAUUGAAAUGGACAAUCAUAAACUUUUGGGCUAUGGACUUAUUGAAGACAACUGUAUGGAGAUAAACAGAAACACAGAGGUGCUAUACUUUCUGAUGGAAAAGACAACAAAAGCAUCUCCCAUCAUUUUGGCGUGGCUCAGAUCAAGAGGAGAAAUUUAAAAAAGGUGAUGGUUGGGCACAAACAAGAAGACAUAGAUCACAGGCGUAUAGCAUAUGAGUAGACAGGAGUUUCACACUCUGCCAGACUUACUUCCUCAGACGAGCAGAUUUAGGCUUCUCAAGAUCACGCACUGCACACUAAGACAUAGUCUUUGACCACUACAACAAGGCCUUAGGGGAUGAAAGUACAGAGGGGUCCAAUUGAAAUCAAUUCUGUGCUGCAUCAUUUCUUUAUUCUAGAGGUUGAUGGACAUGAUUUAUGGCAUCAAGUGUGCAGUUUGUCAACUAACUAUCAACACAGCAGUCUUGUUCACCAGCUGCUCAACUUGAGCUUUUAGCUUUAUUGCUUGAAGCCACUGUAUAAGAGGAGGGAAGGUGCAGACUCAUCAAAAAGUCUCAAGGUUGAAACUAGGAAGAGAAGUUUGUCAAGAGUGUGAAUAUUUGCUUUGAAAACAAUUGUUACAAUGAUUUGGUUUCCUUUGAAACUUGAUACAUACUAUGUGUAUGUUGAAUGAAUUGAGAUGCUUAAAUAAAGAACCACUAUUCAAAUAUCAGGAAACUGCAUUUUUCAUACUAAAUUGGUAAAUGAUGUCACCAUUUCCUGUAUGUAUUUAGAUAAGAUAUGUUUCCACAAUUAAUAUUUUUAGGGACUAUUUCUCAACGUAAUGAAAUAGAUUAAAUUUGUACAGCGUUAUAUGAGCUUAAUAUGUGUUUUCUGUUUCCUUGAAAUUGAUGAAAAAUUGUCAGAAGGUAAUGAGACCAGUAUCCAUUACUGCAAUUAUACAAUAAAAAAUACAGGGACAAGCCCACUGCUCAUAUAAUAUGAUUAAACCUUGUUUAGGGGCAUGAGGCAAACAGAGUUACUUUCAAAUGUUAAAGAUGCACUCUCACACUUUGGAUGUUUUGACAACUGUUUUCAUUUUUAGCUCUACUGGCCAAAGGCCAGAAGAGCUUAUGCGAUGGUAAUGUGUACGUAGUAUGUGCGUCUGUAAACAAUCCUCGUUUACAUGAUACAGCCUACAGUUCCUUUCGAAAACCAGCCAGAUCCGCCCAUGUAUGCCUAGUUUAUGGGCCUUGAUAGUAUACAAAAAUCAGUGUGUCAGUAGGCAAUUGCUCGUUAACAUGAUACAGCCUUUUUGAUUGUAUCUCAAUGAAACUUGUACAGUAUCUACAUAUCCAUAUGAGCUCGGUUCCUUUCGAAAACCAGCCAGAUCCGCCCAUGCAUGCCAAGAUUAUGGGCCUUGAUAAUAAAAAAAAAUAGUGUGUCAGUAAACAAUUGCUCGGUAACACGAUACAGUCUUCAGUUUUGAUUGUAUCUUGAUGAAACUUGUCCAGUAUAUCCAUUAGAGCUCAGUUCCUUUCAAAAACCUGAUCUGCCCAUGUUUCCUGGAUUAUUGGCCUUGAAAUUAUUAGAUGAUGGGCCUUGAUAGUAUAAAAAAUGCUAUUUUGUAAUAAAUGCUUGCGAAUAUGAUACAGUCUUCAGUUUUGAGUAUUCAGAUACCCAUAAGGCGUUGGUUCUUUUCGAAAACAGUGAUGUUGACCACACAAACCCAGCCAGUAGAGCAUAGGCCCUUUUGGGCCUCUUGUUUGUUUUGGAUUGGUACCAUCCAGUCUUUGCGAAAAAUGCAUGGAAACCAGUAAUAUAAGACUACUGACAAAAAAUUCAAUUGCAGACUUUUUUAUUUAAGUUAAAACAUUGAUGUUUUAUGCACUUUUCUUAAACCGUUAGUAACAUUAAUCUUUGAAGGAAAUAUGAAAUCUGGGAUUUGAUGUUUUGUCAGCAAUCUUUUACCAUUGGUUUGCUGAUAUUUACGCAAAAAUUUGCUCAUUCCAAGACAAAACAAAAGUUGUUAAAACGGUAUAUCUGUGAGAAUGCAGCUCUAAAUGUUUUGGCAAACAUGUUUUUGAUUUGGCAGCACAAUCUAUCUUGAACAUUGCUUGAUUUUACUGCUGUAUUAGAAAUUACAGGGGUAAUGGGGGAUUUUUUUUAGUGUUUUUAUUGCUCUUUGUGAUUCAUACAGUCAUACUUCAUUCCCCAGGGCACAACUUACAAAUAGACAGAACAGGAAAAUGGUCAUUUUAAAAGGUCAAGGACAAUGCAAGUUGAACAAUCAUAUUGUUCAUGGCUUGUAUUUUUGGUAUAUUUUGUUGCAUAUAUGCUAUAAAAAAGUUGAAAGUUAAAAAUAACUUCAUAGUUAAAAUGAUGGCUUUGAAUGGUUUUGUCAGUUGAGAAACAGCACUAUUAAGAAAUAUGUUAAUGGUACUUUAUUAUUUUAAUCAAUUUUAGAUAUUUGUAUGAAAAUUAUUAUCUUAUUUUGUACAUGAGACCUUUUAAACAGUUAUUUAUAAUUUAACAAUGUGUAAAUGAUCAAAACUUAAAGCUGCACUUUCACAGAUUGUCAUUUUAGACACUUUAAAAAUUUUGUCUCAAAAGCUGAUUUGGUUAUCAUUCCUUUAAUUCAGUCAUAUUAGAUAAUUCACAAUAGAACCAAUCAAAAAUGUUUGGUAAGACUGCCGAAAAGUUCAUUUACAUUAAAUUGUUCGUAAUGCUACUAUACACAUAAAACAUCAUUUUAGCCAUAAAUAUGACAAAAUGCAAUCUGAUCUUAUUUCAGAAGUCUUAUAUCACUUAAAAUUGGGUCUAUAGAUGCAAAAAAUGGUCUAUUUAUAGACCAACAAUAAAAGAGUGCCGGUAGUCAAAACGAUCAAUUAGUGAGAUUGCAGCUUUAAAUACACCUUUUUCAGUCCGCUGUAAAAUUCCAAUGGUUUGCCUCAAUCUUUAAAGCUAGCAUACUGUUUAAUUGACAGCCAUACUUUUUGUUUAAAAGUGUCAUGAUAUGUUUGUACAAUGUGUUUAUAUAAUUCAUUAAAGAAGUCAA